RNAcentral lists this ribosomal RNA (253 nucleotides) under uncultured bacterium. RNAcentral describes it as "partial 16S ribosomal RNA". It matches the Rfam family "Bacterial small subunit ribosomal RNA", at positions 524 to 776 of the family's 1533-position model. The record is from RNAcentral.
UACGUAGGGUGCGAGCGUUAAUCGGAAUUACUGGGCGUAAAGCGUGCGUAGGCGGUUCGUUAAGUUCGUUGUGAAAGCCCCGGGCUCAACCUGGGAAUGGCAAUGGAAACUGGCGGGCUGGAGUAUGGCAGAGGGGGGUGGAAUUCCACGUGUAGCAGUGAAAUGCGUAGAUAUGCGGAGGAACACCGAUGGCGAAGGCAAUCCCCUGGGCCUGCACUGACGCUCAUGCACGAAAGCGUGGGGAGCAAACAGG